Molecule: ribosomal RNA, 1172 nt
Filed under: Staphylococcus sp.
Lineage: Bacteria; Bacillati; Bacillota; Bacilli; Caryophanales; Staphylococcaceae
Description: bacterial SSU rRNA
Rfam family: Bacterial small subunit ribosomal RNA
Source: RNAcentral
GAGCGAACAGACGAGGAGCUUGCUCCUCUGACGUUAGCGGCGGACGGGUGAGUAACACGUGGAUAACCUACCUAUAAGACUGGGAUAACUUCGGGAAACCGGAGCUAAUACCGGAUAAUAUAUUGAACCGCAUGGUUCAAUAGUGAAAGACGGUUUUGCUGUCACUUAUAGAUGGAUCCGCGCCGCAUUAGCUAGUUGGUAAGGUAACGGCUUACCAAGGCAACGAUGCGUAGCCGACCUGAGAGGGUGAUCGGCCACACUGGAACUGAGACACGGUCCAGACUCCUACGGGAGGCAGCAGUAGGGAAUCUUCCGCAAUGGGCGAAAGCCUGACGGAGCAACGCCGCGUGAGUGAUGAAGGUCUUCGGAUCGUAAAACUCUGUUAUUAGGGAAGAACAAAUGUGUAAGUAACUAUGCACGUCUUGACGGUACCUAAUCAGAAAGCCACGGCUAACUACGUGCCAGCAGCCGCGGUAAUACGUAGGUGGCAAGCGUUAUCCGGAAUUAUUGGGCGUAAAGCGCGCGUAGGCGGUUUUUUAAGUCUGAUGUGAAAGCCCACGGCUCAACCGUGGAGGGUCAUUGGAAACUGGAAAACUUGAGUGCAGAAGAGGAAAGUGGAAUUCCAUGUGUAGCGGUGAAAUGCGCAGAGAUAUGGAGGAACACCAGUGGCGAAGGCGACUUUCUGGUCUGUAACUGACGCUGAUGUGCGAAAGCGUGGGGAUCAAACAGGAUUAGAUACCCUGGUAGUCCACGCCGUAAACGAUGAGUGCUAAGUGUUAGGGGGUUUCCGCCCCUUAGUGCUGCAGCUAACGCAUUAAGCACUCCGCCUGGGGAGUACGACCGCAAGGUUGAAACUCAAAGGAAUUGACGGGGACCCGCACAAGCGGUGGAGCAUGUGGUUUAAUUCGAAGCAACGCGAAGAACCUUACCAAAUCUUGACAUCCUCUGACCCCUCUAGAGAUAGAGUUUUCCCCUUCGGGGGACAGAGUGACAGGUGGUGCAUGGUUGUCGUCAGCUCGUGUCGUGAGAUGUUGGGUUAAGUCCCGCAACGAGCGCAACCCUUAAGCUUAGUUGCCAUCAUUAAGUUGGGCACUCUAAGUUGACUGCCGGUGACAAACCGGAGGAAGGUGGGGAUGACGUCAAAUCAUCAUGCCCCUUAUGAUUUGGGCUAC